Molecule: ribosomal RNA, 1374 nt
Filed under: metagenome
Description: bacterial SSU rRNA
Rfam family: Bacterial small subunit ribosomal RNA
Source: RNAcentral
AGAGUUUGAUCCUGGCUCAGAACGAACGCUGGCGGCGCGUUUCAGGCAUGCAAGUCGAAGGACCUAUUUAAGCUUGCUUUAAUAGGGACUGGCGAACGGGUGAGUAACACGUGAGAAUCUAGCCUGAAGUGGGGGAUAGCCUAUGGAAACAUAGGAUAAUACCGCAUAUGCUGAAAGGUGAAAGAGGCUUCGGCCUCGCUUUAGGGUGAGCUUGCGGUCCAUUAGUUAGUUGGUAAGGUAAUGGCUUACCAAGACCGCGAUGGAUAGCCGGCCUGAGAGGGUGAUCGGCCACAUUGGGACUGAGACACGGCCCAGACUCCUACGGGAGGCAGCAGCUAAGAAUAUUCCGCAAUGGGAGAAAUCCUGACGGAGCGACGCCGCGUGAACGAUGAAGGCAGAAAUGUUGUAAAGUUCUUUUUUAUGGGAAGAAUAAUGAUAGUAGGUAAUGAUUAUCAGAUGACGGUACCAUAAGAAUAAGCUCCGGCUAACUACGUGCCAGCAGCCGCGGUAAUACGUAGGGGGCAAGCGUUGUUCGGAUUUAUUGGGCGUAAAGGACAUGUAGGCGGUUAUAUAAGUGUGAAUUUAAAGGCUAAAGCUUAACUUUAUGUUUGGUUUGCAAACUGUAUAACUAGAGUACAGAAGGGGAGACUGGAAUUCCACGUGUAGGGGUGAAAUCUGUAGAGAUGUGGAAGAAUACCGGUGGCGAAGGCGAGUCUCUGGUCUGUAACUGACGCUAAUAUGCGAAAGUGUGGGGAGCAAACAGGAUUAGAUGCCCUGGUAGUCCACACUGUAAACGUUGCACACUAGGUGUUAGUAGUUUGUUCUACUAGUGCCGUAGCUAACGCAUUAAGUGUGCCGCCUGGGGAGUAUGCUCGCAAGGGUGAAACUCAAAGGAAUUGACGGGGGCCCGCACAAGCGGUGGAGCAUGUGGUUUAAUUCGAUAUACGCGAAAAACCUUACCAGGACUUGACAUUUAAGUGAUCGAUACAGAGAUGUGUCUUCCCUCCGGGGCGCUUAAACAGGUGCUGCAUGGCUGUCGUCAGCUCGUGUUGUGAGAUGUUGGGUUAAGUCCCGCAACGAGCGCAACCCCUACUGUUAGUUGCCAUCAGGUUAAGCUGGGCACUCUAGCAGAACUGCCGGUGACAAACCGGAGGAAGGUGGGGAUGACGUCAAGUCCUCAUGGCCCUUAUGUCCUGGGCUACACACGUGCUACAAUGGGCUGUACAAAGGGUUGCAAGACCGCGAGGUGGAGCCAAUCCCAAAAAGCAGUCCUUAGUUCGGAUUGGAGUCUGCAACUCGACUCCAUGAAGUUGGAAUCGCUAGUAAUCGCAGAUCAGAAUGCUGCGGUGAAUACGUUCCCGGGCCUUGUACACG